This 350-nucleotide ribosomal RNA is filed under the name uncultured fungus. Its description in RNAcentral is "SSU rRNA". It matches the Rfam family "Eukaryotic small subunit ribosomal RNA", at positions 20 to 370 of the family's 1831-position model. Lineage: Eukaryota; Fungi. The record is from RNAcentral.
GUAGUCAUAUGCUUGUCUCAAAGAUUAAGCCAUGCAUGUCUAAGUAUAAGCAAUUUAUACAGUGAAACUGCGAAUGGCUCAUUAAAUCAGUUAUCGUUUAUUUGAUAGUACCUUUACUACUUGGAUAACCGUGGUAAUUCUAGAGCUAAUACAUGCUAAAAAUCCCGACUGUUUGGAAGGGAUGUAUUUAUUAGAUAAAAAACCAACGCUUUUCGGAGCUCUUUGAUGAUUCAUAAUAACUUUUCGAAUCGCAUGGCCUUGCGCCGGCGAUGGUUCAUUCAAAUUUCUGCCCUAUCAACUUUCGAUGGUAGGAUAGUGGCCUACCAUGGUUUCAACGGGUAACGGGGAAU